UACAGAGGGUGCGAGCGUUGUCCGGAAUCAUUGGGCGUAAAGCGCGCGUAGGCGGCCCGAUAAGUCCGUCGUGAAAGUCAAAGGCUCAACCUUUGAAUGUCGAUGGAUACUGUCGGGCUAGAGUCCGGAAGAGGCGAGUGGAAUUCCUGGUGUAGCGGUGGAAUGCGCAGAUAUCAGGAGGAACACCAAUAGCGAAGGCAGCUCGCUGGGACGGUACUGACGCUAAGGCGCGAAAGCGUGGGGAGCGAACAGG
Molecule: ribosomal RNA, 253 nt
Filed under: uncultured bacterium
Lineage: Bacteria
Description: partial 16S ribosomal RNA
Rfam family: Bacterial small subunit ribosomal RNA
Source: RNAcentral